Molecule: long non-coding RNA, 212 nt
Organism: Zophobas morio
Lineage: Eukaryota; Metazoa; Arthropoda; Insecta; Coleoptera; Tenebrionidae
Exons: 3
Source: RefSeq, a predicted model, not a curated record
CUACUUACAGGUACUGGAGAGCGCUCAGCCCCGAGAAAGAAUUUGCGCCAAUAUAACGGAGCUUAUUAUUGUUAAGCACAAUUCCUCCAGUUUUUCGAGGCCUGCAAAUAUUUCUUCAUCAAUCGAAAAAAACAUACAAGCAAGUUAAUUCCCUAAGAUGAAGAAAGAAUUUCGCUGGGAUUGAGCUAAUGUGGUUGUCUCCAAGAGCGCUA